RNAcentral lists this transfer RNA (74 nucleotides) under Carboxylicivirga linearis. RNAcentral's name for it is "tRNA-Arg". It matches the Rfam family "tRNA". From Rfam's summary of the family: Transfer RNA (tRNA) molecules are approximately 80 nucleotides in length. Their secondary structure includes four short double-helical elements and three loops (D, anti-codon, and T loops). Further hydrogen bonds mediate the characteristic L-shaped molecular structure. tRNAs have two regions of fundamental functional importance: the anti-codon, which is responsible for specific mRNA codon recognition, and the 3' end, to which the tRNAs corresponding amino acid is attached (by aminoacyl-tRNA synthetases). tRNAs cope with the degeneracy of the genetic code in two manners: having more than one tRNA (with a specific anti-codon) for a particular amino acid; and 'wobble' base-pairing, i.e. permitting non-standard base-pairing at the 3rd anti-codon position. Lineage: Bacteria; Pseudomonadati; Bacteroidota; Bacteroidia; Marinilabiliales; Marinilabiliaceae. The record is from RNAcentral.
GGUUUCGUAGCUUAAUUGGAUAGAGCACCUGGUUACGGCCCAGGAGGUUGCAGGUUCGAGUCCUGCCGAGAUCA